CCCCCACGGUGGAGCGCCAAAACUGCCGAGUUGCUGUCCGAGGUUUUUUCUCUACUCCCCCGGGCGGGGGAGGAGGCUGCACCGGCCGAGCUGUGGCACAGCAACUGACAGCCGGGGGGCACUGCCCAGAUGCGCCGGGGGCGUCCGGGCAGCGCCUCAGCAGGAGGCAGCAGUGAUCAGCAAGAAGGCGAAGGAGAAAAGAGGGACCCGAAUCAGGGCAAAGUCCAGAGUGCUUUAAUGUCUCCAGGGAACGCCAGCCGAGUCGGGACCACGAGGCAGGGGUACAGCCGAUUAUAAAGGGACGGAACAUAGAACAUUUCAACCAAUGAGAGAGAACUUGGGACGGAACAAACCCGUGACAAACAUGCCGGCUCGCCAAUAGGGAAUGUGACAGGGAGGGACCCUUGUUCCCGAUCCAGUCACCCACCGAGGAGGGGAGAACUUUCUGGAAAUAGGGAAGGGGACAGUGGCUGAUGGACAGGAACUCAGGGAGGGAUUGACAGAGGGUAACCAGGGGAACAGGGGUGGAGACAAAAAACUGAUACUCUCAAAAGGAGGGGUUGCCAGGGGAGGUGGGGGGGGGAACCCUAGGACCGAACCAUUAUAACUUUAGGGGGAAACGGAAGAAACCAAAUGAACCCUGCACCACAACAUCACCCCUCUUUUUCUCCCUCAACAAUGUUGUCCUCAACAGCCUGUUUAUUCCCUUUCCCACUUUCUCUAACAUUGUCUCCUGUAUAUUGUGCUGUGCCAACCCAUCCACAAAUGCAACAGCUUUUCUCCAGUGCUUCACUUAGCUGUGUUGCACACAAGCACUCAUGGAAAGGGUACAUAAUGGUAUCAGUGUUUUUCCUGCCAGCUUCUCUACCCUUUCCUUACUCUUUCCUAUUCUUUUUGAUUUAUGUUGAUCUCCUACAUUACUAGGGUAAAGAUUGUGUCAUUUGCAGUAUUGCUGACCUCAGACACUCAAAAGAAAUGUAUUAGUUCUUGAAAAAUAAUGAUCUUGGUUUUAGAAAUAUGUAUUUGCAUGAUCAUGUUUACAUAUUUUAUUUUCCCUCUUCAAUUUCACAUGAGAUUUUACAGUUAACAUUUUAACCACGAGUGGCUAAGGUGAGGUGAUUUUUACAUGAAGGCUGAGUUUCUUAUGUAAAAAUAUUACUCCAGGAGAUGAAGGUUAUAGAAAAUAUUAGAUAUCCCAAAAUCCAUGAUUAAAUUAAAAUGCAGUAUUUAUUUGUGUUGAGGAGACAUCUGUUUGAAUACUAAGAUUUUACUCUAUCAUUAUGUACUCUCCAGGAUCCUACAACUCAAAGUUCUUUUUUUGUCUGAGUGUUUUGUCUGUUGAUCAAGAAAUGAUAGAUUCAUAAAACUGACCCACUGAUGAAGUCCUUCACUCUUUGAGGAUGAGGCAGAAAUGUCAAAACUAUCACCCUUUCCAAGUUAUUCUGUACUUUGGCAAUGAGCACUUUUCAUCCUCACAUGUGAGGACAUUAUACAGGACUGUUCCUACUUUGAAGAAGGGGAGAUUGAAGUACAGGGAUGUGAGAUCCAUUUCCAUAGACACAUCAGUCUGCAGCAGAGAAACAGAAGUAAAUCCAGGUCCUCUGAAUUCCUGCUUUGAGACCUAUCCACUACAAAAUUCAUAGAAUUUAUUAUUAAUAGAAGUCGGUCACUUCUGCCAAGACCAUCACCACAGACAUAUCCAGACUCAGCAAGCUGGUGGAAAAAAUAAAGUAUCAAAUAUGUGAAAAGUUAUGCAGUGCAAAGUUUUGUGAAUA
This is a long non-coding RNA of Passer domesticus (house sparrow), 1775 nucleotides long. RefSeq lists it as uncharacterized. The record is from RefSeq and is a predicted model, not a curated record. NCBI's taxonomy places the organism in Eukaryota, Metazoa, Chordata, Aves, Passeriformes, Passeridae. The transcript has 3 exons.